This 2272-nucleotide long non-coding RNA is filed under the name Macaca mulatta (Rhesus monkey). RNAcentral's name for it is "lncRNA (ENSMMUG00000062834.1)". The record is from RNAcentral. Lineage: Eukaryota; Metazoa; Chordata; Mammalia; Primates; Cercopithecidae.
GGACUGACAACACUUUCCUUGUAAACUUGUCUAUGUUAUUUUUUAUUGUUAUUUUUUGUUUAGUUAAGAAUACAGAAAACUAAAAUUCUCAAAUUAGGAUUUUUAUGUAUCUCUACAUAACACCUUCUACCUUUGAAUCUCAAAGCAUAUUAUUAGCAUUAAUUAGCAGUGCCUGAGGAUAAUGUGUGAGAUACAAAUUGAACAAUACUCAAGACAUUGGACAGAUGAGUAAACUAGGCUUUAGUGUAACUGUUAAACAUCUAUAUGAAUCCUAAUUCAUAGGAAGUGAUGGGUUUCUGCUUUUUAAAGCUAUAAAUUCCAGACAAAAAAAUAGAGAGAAAUUAAGAUUGAAAAUUUCAAGAAAAUUUGACGAGUAAAUUUUCUGAAAUUGACCUACUUAUUAAUCUCAAUGUAUGCUUAGAAUUUAAAUAAUGAUAAAAAUCAAUUAUUUUUAACCCUUCCCCCAAUGACUAUGUCCUCUGUUGUUUCCUGUUAUUGACUUGUAAUAACAAAUACAACACAAGAUAUGUAUUUAGCUGUUACAUACAGCAUGUCAGUCUGCAUGGCCCAUAGCAUUAUUGAAUGCCAGUCCUGUAUUUGGAGCAUCUUUGGAAUAGAAUAAAUGUUCAAACUGGCUGAUUGGAAGUGAGAAAAUAAUGCAGUGGCAACAACAAAUGUUUUCUUUAAUUAUAAUUCUUAAUUUAUUGAGAACAUGUCUCUUGAAAUAUUUAAAUGUGUGUGUAUAUCACAUGUAAAAGCAAAUAGGAAAAGUGAAUGACUGUAAGGUUGUUGUCAUCACUUCCAAUGGCAAAACCGCAAUUCCUUUUCAACCAACAUAAUAUUUGCUAUCUCUUUUCCAUUGUUAUACUUGACGAAGCAUGUGAAAGAGUAAUUACAUUUUAUACUAAUGUUAUCUAUUAACAAUUUCCUCCUCUCACGGUCCUUAGGAAUCCUUAUUCUCGCCAUUACCUCUGCUUCAGCUGUUUUUUCUUAGCCCCCAUCUUGCUAUUAAAAAUACUAUUAAACUUUUGGAUCGCAGUUUUUACUGUUUUCUCUGACCUCUUAAGCACCCAGAAAUCUCUUUUUCCUUAGAACUUCUGCAUCUUUUAUUUCUUCUUCAGAAAAAAAGAAAAAAAAAAAAAAAAAGAAAAGGAAGUGGCAAAAUGCCUUGGAUUCUUGUUUUAAACUUUUCAUUUUUUAAAAUACAUUUCCUUUUUAAGUAGAAUUCAAGCUCCUCUAAAGUAAAAGUUGUGUUUUAUAUUUGCUCAUAUGUAUGUGAGCAAAUACUUGGGCAGUGUGUGUACAUAAAAUGUACUGGAUUGAUAAUCUGCUAACAUUAUUUAGUUUCAGCUAUUAUUAGCUUUUGAUAAAUAAUUUUACAUCUCUGAUCUAUAGUUUCCUUGUCUAUAAUAAGGGAAUAUGUCCUCCAAUGCUUGUUCAGAGAAUCAGAGGGUUAAAUAACAGGAUAAUGAGUUGGAACAGUACCUAAGUACUUGGGAAACCUUCAAUAAUUAUUAAUUGAACCAAAGUUCACAUACUACAUUAUAUUUAGGACAUGGUAAACAGUCUAUAUGUGUAUGGAAAAUACAUGACAGGACUUUAUAUAUCACAUAUAUAGGUUUUUAAGCUAGCCUUGUAUGUAUCUUAUUUGAUGUUCAAACUUUAUUAGAAAGAUGGCUAUAUUCUUCAUUUUGAAAGUACAGAUGUAAAUUUUGUGUGAUUUCCUCACAUACUUUUGCAGACUCUAACUUGAUUCUAGAUCUUUUCAUUUUUAACUCCAGUUUUUUUUUUUUAACGUACAUGUUGAGUUAGAGUAUAGAUGUGUUUUAUUAUUUAACUAUACAGAGUUUCCUCUUCAAAAGGAAAAAAGGAAAAAUUUCCAGGAAUAUAGAGUAGAUUUUUUCACAUUUGCCCACUGUGAACAGAUAGCAUGGUUUAUAGUUAUUUUAUUCUGCAGUCCCCUACCCAAUAUUUGGUCCUGAGUUGGUGAUCAAUAAAUACUUGAAUACUGUUAGUUGGCUUAAAAGGAAAAGAAGAAAUAUAUGUUUUCUUGUUUUCUUUUUUACAUAUACUAACAGAGAAAGAAGAGUAUUAGCAAGUGAAAUCUUAUUUAGAUGCCAAACUCCCUAAUUGAAAUGGAGGCUUUGAGCACCCCUCCAUAAAUCACUUAGAUUCAGCCUUUUUGCUUGUGAUUAAAACAAAAAAAAAUUGGAACUCUAUGUUUGCCUAGUCAAAAUGUGAACAAUUUGUAUGGCACAAUGUGAAUAAUAAG